Alligator sinensis (Chinese alligator) is the source of this 162-nucleotide small nuclear RNA. RefSeq annotates it as U1 spliceosomal RNA. Lineage: Eukaryota; Metazoa; Chordata; Crocodylia; Alligatoridae. The record is from RefSeq and is a predicted model, not a curated record. The transcript has a single exon.
CUGCUUGAGCAAGGAAGAUACCACGUUCGCACAGGUGUUUUUUUCCAGAGUGAGGCUUGUCCCUUGCAUACCAGGCAGGCUGACCCCUGUGAGUUUCCCUGAAUGUGGGAAACUCAACUGUACAAUUUCGUGGCAAUGGGGGACUGUGUUCACACCCCCCGC